Molecule: ribosomal RNA, 384 nt
Filed under: uncultured bacterium
Lineage: Bacteria
Description: bacterial SSU rRNA
Rfam family: Bacterial small subunit ribosomal RNA
Source: RNAcentral
GACGAACGCUGGCGGCGUGCUUAACACAUGCAAGUCGAGCGGUAAGGCCCUUUCGGGGGUACGACGAGCGGCGAACGGGUGAGUAACACGUGGGUGACCUGCCCUUAGCUCUGGGAUAAGCCUGGGAAACUGGGUCUAAUACCGGAUAUGACUCCAUAACGCAUGUUGUGGGGUGGAAAGCCUUGUGCGGCUAGGGAUGGGCCCGCGGCCUAUCAGCUUGUUGGUGGGGUGAUGGCCUACCAAGGCGACGACGGGUAGCCGGCCUGAGAGGGCGACCGGCCACACUGGGACUGAGACACGGCCCAGACUCCUACGGGAGGCAGCAGUGGGGAAUCUUGCGCAAUGGGCGAAAGCCUGACGCAGCGACGCCGCGUGAGGGAUGAC